This 405-nucleotide ribosomal RNA is filed under the name uncultured marine bacterium. RNAcentral's name for it is "bacterial SSU rRNA". It matches the Rfam family "Bacterial small subunit ribosomal RNA", at positions 360 to 790 of the family's 1533-position model. The record is from RNAcentral.
AAUUUUCCGCAAUGGGUGCAACCCUAACGGGGCAAUACCAGGAAGGGAGGAAUGCCUGCGGUUGUAAACAGAUUUGUGAGGGAAAAAUUUUGACGUGACUUAAGGAAUAAGCAUGGGCUAAGUUCUGGCAGCACGGGGGUGCAGCGGCAGUAGUAAGGAUUAUGCGAGAUCAGUGGAAUAAGGGUCUGUAAGUGGCUUAGUAAGUCUGCUUUAUUUAUGAGAAAUUACCUGGAAAUCAGCAGGAAAAACUAUUAAACUAGAGUAUGGUAGGGCAAAGGAAAUUCCCAGUGUAGCGGUGAAAUGGGUAGAUAUUGGGAAGAAUACCGGUAGCGAAAGCGCUUUGGUGGGCCUUAAGUGACACUCAGAGGCGAAGGUUAAGGUAGGCAUUGGGGUUAGAUGCCCCGG